UACGAAGGGGGCUAGCGUUGCUCGGAAUUACUGGGCGUAAAGCGCACGUAGGCGGCUCUUUAAGUCGGAGGUGAAAUCCUGGAGCUCAACUCCAGAACUGCCUUCGAUACUGUAGAGCUUGAGUUCGGGAGAGGUGAGUGGAACUGCGAGUGUAGAGGUGAAAUUCGUAGAUAUUCGCAAGAACACCAGUGGCGAAGGCGGCUCACUGGCCCGAUACUGACGCUGAGGUGCGAAAGCGUGGGGAGCAAACAGG
RNAcentral lists this ribosomal RNA (253 nucleotides) under uncultured bacterium. RNAcentral's name for it is "partial 16S ribosomal RNA". It matches the Rfam family "Bacterial small subunit ribosomal RNA", at positions 524 to 776 of the family's 1533-position model. The record is from RNAcentral.